GGCCUACCAUGCAGUCGAACGGAUCCUUCGGGAUUAGUGGCAGACGGGUGAGUAACGCGUGGGAAGCUACCUUGUGGUAGGGGACAACAGUUGGAAACGACUGCUAAUACCCUAUGAGCCCUAUGGGGGAAAGAUUUAUCGCCAUGAGAUGUGCCCGCGUUAGAUUAGCUAGUUGGUAAGGUAAUGGCUUACCAAGGCGACGAUCUAUAGCUGGUCUGAGAGGAUGAUCAGCCACACUGGGACUGAGACACGGCCCAGACUCCUACGGGAGGCAGCAGUGGGGAAUAUUGGACAAUGGGGGCAACCCUGAUCCAGCCAUGCCGCGUGUGUGAUGACGGCCUUAGGGUUGUAAAGCACUUUCAGCAGUGAAGAUAAUGACAUUAACUGCAGAAGAAGCCCCGGCUAACUUCGUGCCAGCAGCCGCGGUAAUACGAAGGGGGCUAGCGUUGUUCGGAAUCACUGGGCGUAAAGAGUACGUAGGCGGACUGAUAAGUUAGGGGUGAAAUCCCAAGGCUCAACCUUGGAACUGCCUUUGAUACUGUCAGUCUUGAGAUCGAGAGAGGUGAGUGGAACUCCGAGUGUAGAGGUGAAUUCGUAGAUAUUCGGAAGAACACCAGUGGCGAGGCGGCUCACUGGCUCGAUACUGACGCUGAGGUAC
RNAcentral lists this ribosomal RNA (658 nucleotides) under marine bacterium A1. RNAcentral describes it as "bacterial SSU rRNA". It matches the Rfam family "Bacterial small subunit ribosomal RNA", at positions 45 to 754 of the family's 1533-position model. The record is from RNAcentral.